Podarcis raffonei (Aeolian wall lizard) is the source of this 1081-nucleotide long non-coding RNA. RefSeq lists it as uncharacterized. The transcript is spliced from 3 exons. The record is from RefSeq and is a predicted model, not a curated record. NCBI's taxonomy places the organism in Eukaryota, Metazoa, Chordata, Lepidosauria, Squamata, Lacertidae.
GAAGGAACUGGUGGCUGCAGUUGGGGGGAAGAUGUCACCUCAUACACAGAGUUCCCUUUUGCCCUGAACCUUUUUCCGUGCGCAAAAAAAGAUGGUUGCGUUGAGCCGGCAGAAUAUGUUUCGUGCGAGCGAGAAGAGAAAGGGGGAUCUCAGCCCUGAUUGUAAUGGCUUGGUAGGAAAUUAAAGCUGAUCUCCUGGCUCUUCAGAAGAGCUCGCAUCUUCCUGAUGGGCUCUGAUUCCGCAUUACUGAAAGGGCUUGAUUAUUAUUCUGUGCAAAUGAGAAGUAAUUCCACCGAAGCCAGAAUGGCUGCUUUUUCUGUGGACUUUGCUCCUAGCAUAGUUAAAUAAAUGCUUGGUGGUGCCUCCUUCUAGUCUACAUUGCAAAUUACUGAGGCCUUAAUUGCGUCCUCCACCCCUCCAAAUUUGGGCAAAUUAGCCUGUGUUUGUGUGGCUCCAACUUUUUGCUUGAAAUUGUUGGUGUGGAUUGUGCCAUUGUGUCUGGAGGCACAUUACUAGGUUUUGUUAAUCCGUGCUCUGGUAGCCUCCCAGUUGGAUUACUGCAAUGUGUUGCACUUGGGGCUGCCUGUGAAGAUAGUCCAGAGUUCAACUGGUGCAGAAUAUGGCUGCCAUGAUUUUAAGUGGGACCACAGGCAUCCUGAACACAUUAAUGUGUCCUUUCUGGCUUUCUGAUUGUUUCCAGGCUCAAUUCAAAGACUUGGUUUUGACCUAUAAACUCUGCAGAGAUUGAGACCUUGAUACCUGGCGGACCACUUCCUGCCCUUGUCCUAAAAUGAUAAACAGAGGUCCUUCUCCAAGAAUCAGUCUCAUUAUGAUGCAGAUAGGAGGUGAUUAUGUUUUAAGAACAUAAGAAGAGCCUGCUGUUUCAGGCCAGUGCUCAUCUAGUCCAGCAUCCUCACAGUGACCAGCCCGAUGCCAAUGGGAAGCCUAAAAGCAGGACAUGAACACAACAGCACUCUUCUCAUGUGCAAUUCUGAGCAUUCUGCCUCCGACAGUUGCAGUAGAGUAUAGCCACCAUGACUAAAAUAUAGCAAACUGAAUUCAAGAAUGGAAAAAUAAGAAG